RNAcentral lists this ribosomal RNA (346 nucleotides) under uncultured cyanobacterium. RNAcentral's name for it is "bacterial SSU rRNA". It matches the Rfam family "Bacterial small subunit ribosomal RNA", at positions 417 to 766 of the family's 1533-position model. The record is from RNAcentral. Lineage: Bacteria; Bacillati; Cyanobacteriota.
CUUGGGUUGUAAACCCCUUUUCUCUGGGAAGAAAGUUGUGAAAGCAGCCUGACGGUACCAGAGGAAUCAGCAUCGGCUAACUCCGUGCCAGCAGCCGCGGUAAGACGGAGGAUGCAAGCGUUAUCCGGAAUGAUUGGGCGUAAAGCGUCCGCAGGUGGCAGUUCAAGUCUGCUGUCAAAGACCGGGGCUCAACCUCGGAAAGGCAGUGGAAACUGAACAGCUAGAGUAUGGUAGGGGCAAAGGGAAUUCCUGGUGUAGCGGUGAAAUGCGUAGAGAUCAGGAAGAACAUCGGUGGCGAAGGCGCUUUGCUGGACCAUAACUGACACUCAGGGACGAAAGCUAGGGG